This 277-nucleotide unclassified non-coding RNA is filed under the name sea anemone metagenome. RNAcentral's name for it is "partial contains small subunit ribosomal RNA and internal transcribed spacer 1". The stretch from base 1 to 157 matches the Rfam family "Eukaryotic small subunit ribosomal RNA", at positions 1678 to 1831 of the family's 1831-position model. The record is from RNAcentral.
GCUACUACCGAUUGAAUGGUUAGUGAGGACUCCUGAUUGGCGCCGCCGCCCCGGCAACGGAGCAGCGGACUGCCGAAAAGCUGUUCAAACUUGAUCAUUUAGAGGAAGUAAAAGUCGUAACAAGGUUUCCGUAGGUGAACCUGCAGAAGGAUCAAGAUCGGAAAAGCCCCCGGUUUGAAUUCAGUCCCUAGGCCUUAUCUCGUUUUCCGGCCUACGGCUGUAAAAAAAACGAUACGCAAGCCCAACAAAAUACUUACAGCAUGCACCCUUUGUAUCU